Long non-coding RNA from Engraulis encrasicolus (European anchovy), 473 nucleotides. RefSeq lists it as uncharacterized. The transcript has 3 exons. NCBI's taxonomy places the organism in Eukaryota, Metazoa, Chordata, Actinopteri, Clupeiformes, Engraulidae. The record is from RefSeq and is a predicted model, not a curated record.
GGGCAAGAGGUGGUAACACUGAAACGGCAAAUGCAGCAGUCAGUGACAAUGGGUCAACCGGAGUCAACCAGAACCAAAACGUGACCUAUUCUGAUGUCACUCAAUUUAAAAAAAGAGAUGGCCAGACAGUCAAUCCGGCUGGGCAGGGAAAUCCAAGAAAUGUCUCCCAACAUGUGCCCCCCUAUGGAAACAAGCCUCAAGCCCCACCACCACCCAGCCAAGUGACAUACGGAGAGAUGAGGAGACAUUAAGCAGCCUCUUCAAGGUCCAACCACUAUAACAGACCAGGGCUGGACUGGUUAUCUUGAAUGAAGGGCAUUUACCUGGGUCACAAGUCCUCAGAGGCCGUUGUUGUUCCUUUUUUGCCAAGGGACUGGUCUGCAAUUUAGAGGUGGUAGCACAUUGGCCCAUCUUAAAUAUACGGUAAACAGUGGACUGAGCCAAUCAGCAUGUAAUACGAAAGUGGACUGUGC